Molecule: ribosomal RNA, 253 nt
Filed under: uncultured bacterium
Lineage: Bacteria
Description: partial 16S ribosomal RNA
Rfam family: Bacterial small subunit ribosomal RNA
Source: RNAcentral
AACGUAGGAGACAAACGUUAUCCGGAGUUACUGGGCGUAAAGGGCGUGUAGGUGGUUUUGUAAGUCUGGCGUGAAAUAUCUCGGCUUAACCGAGGCAGGUCGUCGGAUACUGCAAGACUAGAGGACGGUAGAGGCGUGUGGAAUUCCGGGUGUAGUGGUGAAAUGCGUAGAGAUCCGGAGGAACACCAGUGGCGAAAGCGGCUCACUGGACCACAACUGACGCUGAUGCACGAAAGCUAGGGGAGCAAACAGG